CGCAGAGGAUGGCUAAACUGCGGUCUUUGCCAACUCUGCAAAAGGGAACCGGAAUCUACUGCUCAUCUCAUGUUCAAAUGUCCUUACACUCUUAGAGUUUGGAACAUGGUCUUCGACUGGUUAGGAAUACAAUGGGCGACUCUGUGCUGGAGUAAUCUCCAGACUAUCAAGCAAUGGUAGACCUCAAAUGAUGGCAUGCAAAGGAACUCCAGGAAGGCCAACAACUCUGUGCAGAUGCUCAUAUGCUAGGAAAUUUGGAACGAAAGGAACGCUAGGGUCUUCCGCUCCAAAGCAUCACUUCCUUCUAGGGUGGUCGCGACGAUUAAGUAUGAGGUGAAGACUUGGGUUACCGCCGGGGCUAGAUUGUUGGGAAACUAA
Molecule: ribosomal RNA, 378 nt
Filed under: Triticum aestivum (bread wheat)
Lineage: Eukaryota; Viridiplantae; Streptophyta; Magnoliopsida; Poales; Poaceae
Description: partial small subunit ribosomal RNA
Source: RNAcentral